UACGUAGGGUGCAAGCGUUGUCCGGAAUUAUUGGGCGUAAAGAGCUCGUAGGCGGUCUGUUGCGUCGGCUGUGAAAACCCGGGGCUCAACUCCGAGCCUGCAGCCGAUACGGGCAGACUAGAGUUCGGCAGGGGAGACUGGAAUUCCUGGUGUAGCGGUGAAAUGCGCAGAUAUCAGGAGGAACACCGGUGGCGAAGGCGGGUUGCUGGGCUGAUACUGACGCUGAGGCGCGAAAGCCAGGGGAGCGAACGGG
Molecule: ribosomal RNA, 253 nt
Filed under: uncultured bacterium
Lineage: Bacteria
Description: partial 16S ribosomal RNA
Rfam family: Bacterial small subunit ribosomal RNA
Source: RNAcentral